This is a long non-coding RNA of Macaca mulatta (Rhesus monkey), 4013 nucleotides long. Lineage: Eukaryota; Metazoa; Chordata; Mammalia; Primates; Cercopithecidae. The record is from Ensembl.
AUGGGUCUCACAGCCAUGUCUGGGGAUGAAUCCAGUUACCAGGGGAAGGAAAAAUGGAAUGGACACAACACACAAACAAUAGACACCUUCAAACACUCUGGGUGGAAAACAUGGAUCAAUGUGGCUUAUUACUAUGGCAACAAAAUCAGCUUUCAUGCCAGAGUAAUUCACUUAGAGUCAAGCAGACAAGUUAAUGAUAUCGGCAGCCAUGGCUCCUGGAGCAGUUGGAGUUGGAAGACUUAAAAUUUUCGACAUUUUAAGGAAGUUCGUGUCUAGUGGUCAUGAGCUAUUUUGUGAUUUUUAAAAUAUACUGCAUUUUGAACUUCAUAAAAACAAACUUGAUAUCUAUUAUACUACCUAUCUAAUACUAGAUACGAGUUGUUUAGAAAUCCCUGUUUUGGUUAUGUUUUAAUGGAGGUUUGAGCUCAUUAUUUAAUAAUGAAGUAACUCAGGAUGACUCUCUGUUAGUUCAUCUAAUACUUACUUGCUUUCUUUUGUUCGAAUACUGCCAUCCCUCUCUGAACAUCAUACACUUGUCAUGAGAAGAGUCUGCACUUCCAGGGCCUGGCACUGAAGGUCUUGAAAUGUUUCUCCUCAGUUCCAUUUACUGGCUUCAUGACAUCUUAUAUUCUGCCUUCAUCAACUGGUUCCUUUAUUAAUGACGAUGCCAAAAUACUAAUAUGGCACUCAAAUACAACUAAACAGCAAUUUGUCUUUACUCCAGAGACAAAAGAAGAAAGAUUUUUUAAAAUCCUAGUAUUUGGGAAAUAUCUUCCAUGUCUACUGUCUUCAUAGCCAGAUUCUAAUUUCUCAGUCUUACGGGUAGUGCUAGCUGCUGGACGAGAAGUCAAAGGCACCAUAACUUUCUGGAUUCCCAGUUUUGCUGAUUCAUCACGUGUAGGAGGCAAUGCUUCCUCCCCCCCGGUUGAGAUGUGAAUGGGAGUUCAGGGAAGCUGUAUUUUUAUGCAGGGUUAAUAAUAUAACUAACAUAACUGUGCAUGGGAAUUGUAAAGAUGUGAGAGUUGGUGGGUUGGUGUCAUGGGAAUAGCAGGUAGAAUCGUGAAUAUCAGGUUGUGAGAUAAUUUUAUUGGUCUGAAGGUCAAUUCGAGAAGACUCAGAGGUUGGAUGUGCAGCGCAAUAUUUAUCUCAGAGCUUAAGAAAGAACUAAAAAGAAUGGUGAGUGAUAGAGAGGAAUAGUCCCUGAGGAGACCUGGCUAGAGAGCAAAUUUGCAAUUAUAACAACAAGGCAAAGGCCUUGGUAUGUUGUUCUCAGAUGGUUAGAUGCUUUCCAAAAGGAACUUUCCUUUGAUGCCUUUUAAUUCUUGAAAUUAAAAAAUCCAGAUAAAAAAAUUUUUCAGAGCCUAAGAAUUCAAAAUAUUUUAACACUGGGAACUAAGGUGAUUGACUUUUCAAAAAUCUGAAUUAACUCAUGUCUUAACCCACUGUUGUUUUGGCCUCAAAAUGACAACUGCUAAUCAUCUAGAAAAAUGUGAUUUAUAAACAUCUUUAUUUAAGAACCUCAUUCUAAAGUGGAAAAAAAGCAGUUGAAAGAAUAUAUAGUGACCCAAAAAACUACUUUGAUUUCACUACAACAUUAAUUAGGAUGUGCUACUAUUUCUAAAAAUAUAGGGCCUGAAGUGUAAAACAUGUCAUUUAAAUACUCUGCAGACAAUGUUUACUUCAAUUUCAUGUAGACUCAUGAACAUUUAAAAAAAUUUUCUGAGGAUCCCAGGGCUUUCUGGGUCAUACUACUGAGAUCUUUCUCUUGGGCUCUUGUUCCCAGGAAACAACAUGUGACGGUUUCAUGUAUAUGCCUCACAAUUUGGCUUUCAGCAUAUUACUUAAGAAUAAAUAGCAGUCAGCAUUCAGGUUUAUACAAGGGACAGUUUGCACAUUUUCCUCAGUAUAAGCUAAAAAAGAAGGAGAAAAUGAGAAAGAAAAAAAGAAAAAGAAAAAGAAAGAAAGAGAAAUCCCCUCUUACUAUCCUAGCUCUUCAUAGAUGUGAUAGAGACUGUUUACCAGCCUUACUUUCUCUCUGAUAAUAUAGUUAGACUGUAUUUUCAUUCUUCCUUUGCAAUUAGAUGUGGCCACUGGGCUGUGUCCCAGCAAAGGAAUGUGAAUACAAGUGGUAUGUACUCCUGCUAGCCUGGCACUUUAAAGCUUGUCAGGCAUGAUUCUCCAAGCUGUUUUCCUUUCCAGCUGACUGGCAUAGAGACAACAUGGAAUAUAACCUUGGAAGCUGUGUUCUGAAAAAUGGCAGAGCUACAUGUGGAAGGAGCCUGGGUCCCUGAAUGACCACUUGGAGGAGAAGCACCUGCCAAAUCAAGAGUACCACUUUGGAAAUUAUGUGAGUGAAAAAUAGAUUGAUACUUUGCUUGAGCCAUUCUAUAUUUGUAUAAUUGUGUCCUUAACUUUUGCACUAUGUAAUUAUUAUUAAAUUACUUUUUACCACUAGAGAUGACUCUAUUGUUGUCAUGAUUCUGUGAGGUGAACUAGGAAUGGAGGGUAGAACCUAACUUCUCACACACAUCUUCUGUGUAAAACUUGCGCAUUCUCUAUGCAUCAUUUAUGUAUCUGCUUUGUGACGUGUAACAGGCAUGCCUUUUACGUAUAUCAGCUCAUGCACUUUUUAAUAAUUUUAUCAAGGGAGCAUUUAGGUGUAGGGAAAUGGACAGGACAUAAGUGCACAAUUCAAUGUUUCUGUUAAAUUCAGUGUUCUAUUGGAUCUGUUAUGGUAUUCCUUCUUUCAUUCCAGAUAUUAAUAAUUUGUAUUAUGUUGGGCUUUCAAAAUCAUAGUUUUUUUGCUGUAUAUUUAUGUAUCUUUCUUUUUAUUACUUUGAAAUAAUUCUUUGAGAUCAUUUACUCUAAUUUUUCUAAUAAUUUCAACUUUUAUUUUAGAUUCGAGGGAUACAUGUGCAGGUUUGUUACCUGAAUAUAUUGCAUGAUUCUGAAGUUUGGGAUACAAUUGAUCCCAUCACCCAGGUACUGAUCAUACUACCCAGAAUUAGUUUUUCAGUCUUUUUCUCUCCUCCUUCUCUCCCUACUCUAGAAGUCCCCAGUGUCUGUUGUUGCCAUCUUUAUGUCCAUGACUACCCAAUGUUUAGCUUCUACUUAGAAGUGAGGACACGUGCUAUUUGGUUUUCUGUUCCUGUAUUAGUUCACUUAGGAUCAUAGCCUCCAGCUGAAUCCAUGUUGCUACAAAGGACAUGAUUUUGUUCCUUCUUAUGACUGUAUAGUAUCCCAUGUAUAUGUGCCACAUUUUCUUUAUUCAGUCUACCAUUGAUGAACACCUAGGUUGAUUCCACAACUUUGUUAUUGCUAAUAGUGCAGUGGUGAACAUAUAAGUCCAGGCAUCCUUUUGAUAGAUGAUAUAUGACAGAAUGAUAGGCUGAUUUAUUUUCUUUCACAUAUAUACUCAGUAGUGGGAUUGUUGGAUCUAGUGGUAGCUCUGUUUUAAGAUCUUUGAAAACUAUUCAGACUGCUUUCCACAGUGGCUGAACUAAUUUACAUUCCCACCAACAGUGUAUAAGUGUUCCAUUUUCUCCACAGCCUCACCAGCAUCUCACCACCAUUUCUGGCUUUUUAAUAAUAGCCAUUCUGACUGGCGUGAGAUGGUAUCUCAUUGUGAUUUCGAUUUGCAUUUUUCUGAUUUUUAGAAAAGGCAUACUAACAGGAAAAGAAGAAGUCAAAAUACUUCACUCCACAAAUAUGAUUCUAUACCUACAAAACACUAAAGACUCUGCCAAAAGGCUCUUAGAACUGACAAACAGCUUGAUUAAAGUUUUGGAAUUACAAGAUCAAUGUGCCAAAAUCAGUAGUAUUUCUAUACACCAAUAAUGUUUGAGCUGAGAGCCAAAUUAAGAACACAAUCCAAUUUACAAUGGGUGCAAAAAACAAAAAAAAAAAACAAAAAAAAACCUAGGAAUACACCUAACCAAGGAGGAAAAAGUUCUCUAUAAGGAGAACUACAAAACACGCUGAAACAAAUUAUAGAUGACAUGAACAAAUAGACA